This 435-nucleotide ribosomal RNA is filed under the name uncultured bacterium. Its description in RNAcentral is "bacterial SSU rRNA". It matches the Rfam family "Bacterial small subunit ribosomal RNA", at positions 29 to 486 of the family's 1533-position model. The record is from RNAcentral.
AGCGAACGCUAGCGGCAGGCCUAAAACAUGCAAGUCGAACGCCGUAGCAAUACGGAGUGGCAGACGGGUGAGUAACACGUGGGAACGUGCCCUUUGGUUCGGAACAACACAGGGAAACUUGUGCUAAUACCGGAUAAGCCCUUACGGGGAAAGAUUUAUCGCCAGAGGAUCGGCCCGCGUCUGAUUAGCUAGUUGGUGAGGUAACGGCUCACCAAGGCUACGAUCAGUAGCNGGUCUGAGAGGAUGAUCAGCCACACUGGGACUGAGACACGGCCCAGACUCCUACGGGAGGCAGCAGUAGGGAAUCUUCCGCAAUGGACGAAAGUCUGACGGAGCAACGCCGCGUGAGUGAUGAAGGUUUUCGAUCGUAAACUCUGUUGUUAAGGAAGAACAAGUACCGGAGUAACUGCCGGCACCUUGACGGUACCUAACCAG